Molecule: ribosomal RNA, 255 nt
Filed under: uncultured bacterium
Lineage: Bacteria
Description: partial 16S ribosomal RNA
Rfam family: Bacterial small subunit ribosomal RNA
Source: RNAcentral
UACAUGUGGGGCAAGCGUUGUUCGGAAUUACUGGGCAUAAAGGGUGCGUAGGUGGUUUGUUAAGUCACGGGUGAAAGUUUUCGGCCCAACCGGAAAAUUGGCCUGUGAUACUGGCGAACUUGAGUGCGUGAGGGGUAACCGGAACGAGCAGUGUAGCGGUGAAAUGCGUAGAUAUUGCUCGGAAGGCCAGAGGCGAAGGCGGGUUACUGGUACGCAACUGACACUGAGGCACGGAAAGCGUGGGGAGCAAACAGG